RNAcentral lists this long non-coding RNA (3782 nucleotides) under Pelobates cultripes (western spadefoot toad). The record is from RNAcentral. Lineage: Eukaryota; Metazoa; Chordata; Amphibia; Anura; Pelobatidae.
UCAUUAACAUUCAUUACAAAAAGUUUUCUGGGAUAUGGCAACAUCUGCAAAAAAUAUAAUAAUUCAUUUUAAACAACCUCCAUUACUGGAAACAUUUCCUUAUUUUCUCUUCGACCACUAUAUAUUUUUUCAUAUACUCUUGUAUAUUCUUAAAUCUUAUACAUUAUUUAACCCUUACUAAGAUUAUAUUUCAAAGAUUCUUUGGUGAGAAAGUUAAACCUACUCUGCAACCACUGUCCAGUGACAACAAUUUUUUUAAAUUUAUUGUUACAUUUAUAAAUCUGUGCAUUUAUAUAUCAUUUUUCAAUCACAGACUUUACACCAAGAUAUCUUUGAUUAAUAAUCUUUUUUUUUUUUAAUGUUUAUGGCAUAUUAAUCCGUAAGACUGUGCUAUGCAAUGCUUCACAACCUAGAAAUGCCAAGAUGAUGUAAAAAUGAACGUUGAUUUUUUAACAAUUUGUAGAUCCAAUGGAAUUGCAAUCAGUACGUAACGUCUUUAAUGGGUGCAUGCAAAGUUAAAGAAUCAGGUAAGUGGCACAGGUGAUUAAAAAACUCCUGCACACCAUAGUCAACAGUGUUAAACCUUGGAGUUAAAUGCACCAUCAUUGCCAAUGGAAUGAAAAAUUUAAUUUGUUGUAUUCUACUAUUUGGGAACCAAGGCUAGACUGUGGUGCUCGGUACACACACUACACAGGUGUUGGAAUGGAAUAAGCAGAAAGUGAGUUUGAUAAGGGCAAAUUGGCCAGAAUUUGUGAGAAAUAGAAAGUGUAUGAAACCAGCUCAUGUCUAUGUAAUCUCAAAAAGUGUUGCUCUAAGCCAGUGCAUAGUUUGCAUUAUGGGAUGGGGAGAUGCCACGCAAGCAGAGAUAAAUGUUCUAUGCUAAACUAGUCAGUCUUUGAACUUUUUCCCCCCAUAUGUAUAUCUACAAUGUGGAUAAAAAUUUGCCUGGAAUGAUGGGCUCACCAGUUACCAACUAAUAUGGGAAUAAACCGCAUCGUAUCCACUGCAUGAAAUAGAUUUGUAUUGUGAUAUAUUGUGGUAUUAUGAGAUAUUUUGGAUAUCAAGCAUUAGUCUGGUAAAUACUGCAUUUCAUUUAUAUUUUACAUGACUAAUCUACAAAAGUGUUUUUAAUUUGUACAAGUGAAUUAUCUAGAAUGGAACCAUUUGAUUUGAAAAUUCUUACAUUCAAAGGGUUACUCCAACCAAAAAACAAAGCUUUAUUAAAAUAGUUUUUAGUUGGGAUAACCCUUGCAAUUACUGUCCCCCUUGCUUUUUUAAUAUAAAAAUUUAAUAAAAGGUAAUAUAACUCACCUUCAAAAAAACAAACAAACCCAAUCCACCUUCAAUCAUGUCACUUCCCAUCACAGUCCAAUUAAAUGCUUCUCAUAGAGAGGAAUUGCUGCGAGGCAAACAGGGAGGGAUAGACCGAGGGAGGCAUAGAGUAAUCUUGUUCACCUACUAUUCCCAAAUGUCAGACUUGUAUUUUUAGAAUUAAUUUCUUGUCUUAUUUAAGUAUUGUACAGUGCUACAGAAUAUGUUAUAUUAAUAAUUCUAGAGGGGGAACUCAUUGAGCAACUUAUACAUUUGUUGGCAGCAUGCUGUGUGCAGUCAAUGGACCAUUCUAUGGACAGAAUUCAUAUUAGCCAGAGCAGAAUUCCUAAACACACAGUAUCUUCACCUAACAGGUCUGGUCAACUACAGUCUUUAAUCUACGAUUCUACUGCAGCACCUUUCAUCUUAAUUAGUUUAAAAUUAUGAAUGAGAAAGAUGGAACCUACAUUUUACCAAAACUGAAAGUUUUCUUAACUAAACUCUGAAUUCUUGUGAAUUGAUUUGCAAAAUUUAGGCAAAAAUUCUCCAGCUUAGCUAUAGUCGCACCUUGGCUAUUUUAGUUUAACCGUUGGAAUUCACUUUUCAAUUCACUACAAUUUUUUUUUUGGGGGGGGGGCUGCUUUAUAUUUCAUCUGAGAUUCCACAAGCUUUAUUGUUUAUUUACUCUAAAGAAUCAAAGAAAAAAAAAAUCAAAGUGGGUGUCAGUCUUCCACUCUAACUAAACAGAGAUUGGUGGCCAGCAACAGUGCAUAUAGAUUAUAUACAGCAUAUGAGUAUGUGUGUUUGUAAUAUAUAUUAGAACACCUUAAGCAGAGGUAGUUAGUAUAUAGUUCUGCAUCUUUAGUUCAUCAAUCCCCAAUAAAGUGUGGAGUAUGCUGGGAGCUAUCAAUUUAUAAUUGAUAUUCUCAUAUAAAAAUAAUAAUAAAUUGUACAUUUUAAAGUGCCCCAUGAAUUUUUUCCCCCUCUAUUAAAUGAAGGCAAAAUUGUCCGUAAUGGAACAUGUGCAGUUUUGUUUCUUUGUAUGAUUUAUAUCGUCACAAAAAUAAGUGAAGAUCAUAUGUCUACAAGGAAAGCUCUACUCACUUGCUGUAUAUAAUGUCCCUAGCUAAAUAAGCAGGGCAUUGCUAGUUUAAAGGGAUAUUCCAGGCACAACUUAAAGGAACGCUCCAGGCACUAUAACUACAACACUGCGCUGUCGCCCACCCGCAAUGUACAUACGCAAACAAUUUGCUAAUGGUUUGACAAUUUUGCUGGAAUCUGCCUGAUGCCAGUAACGUCUUCCAUGGUUGCUGGAAGCUCUCUGCAUCGAGUUAGGACUGGUGCUGCAGAGCUUAGUACAUUGGCUCGGAGUGUUCAUCUGAGGUUUAGCUGUGUGCAAGAGCUUCUGGCUCUCAAUGGAUGAAGUAACUAGACCUCAGCAAAGUUAUCAAACUGUUAGCAGACAGUUUCACUUCUUACAUUUCAGGGGUUCCAGGGUACAUUUGAACUAACAUGCAUAUUUUCCUCUUAUUUUUGUGAGUGAGUAUGUUAAAGUCAACUUUACUGUUCUUAUGGGAAAGGAGGAAGGUCGUAAUAAUCAGUAAGUGAGGCACUGUCAUAUUGGAUGCUCAGAGCUAAUCUUCUAUUGACUGAGCUGUGCUGGGCACAUACACUGAAUUGGAUCAGGAAGACUUUUUUUUCUUCUUAGAAAUGAGGGUUGUGCCUACAAAGAUGAGUUAUGUUUUAGAAAGCUAAACAACCUAAUUUGCACUGGUACUUAAAAUUUCCCUAUAAAGAUAGUGAUGACAAAAAUAAUGCUAUUGAUCCUAAUAGGGCUUAAUAACACGCCAGGAAUUUUGUUUGUAUUUUGUUGACAUGACUGACUUCCAACACAUCUUAAGUCAGUGGAGACAAACGUUUUUCAAAUCAAUUGUGAACUCAGUAUUUAGUGGAUUAAUUCAGGAGACUAAUAAAGUAAUUCAUCAAUUACCUAUGUUGCCAUAUUUUGGUUAAUUUUUCUAUAAUUAUAGAAUUAUGUCCAAACUGAUUACUUGUGCAUGAAUCCUAGAAGUGCCAGAAUUAUAUCCCUACAUAAUUCAUCUUAAUGUGUUUUAAAUCAACAUGGAUUAUUUUACAUGGUUUAAAGGGAAGAGGAAAGCUAAAAAUUGAAAAUAUUUUCCAACCAACUAGGUUUUCCUUCGGAUCUCAUCAGCAUUUAAAACCAGAGAUCUGGACUUGUGCACUGCUGAAAAUAUUUGGUAUAGCCACAUGUUUUAAAUUAAAGUUUGGUGGUCCGAGAUUCCUCUAUAUGGCAUUUUGUUUCGGAUUAAUUUUUUUCAACGAUUCGGGAAAAGCAAACCGGACAAACCAAAAGACCUUGAAAAUGGACCAUUUGGUAAACUGCAAAACAUAAACAAAAAAAUUAAAAUAAAUGUAUAUUAUAUUGCAGUAUACGGAUAGGCGCACUUUCC